This 383-nucleotide ribosomal RNA is filed under the name uncultured eukaryote. Its description in RNAcentral is "partial 18S ribosomal RNA". It matches the Rfam family "Eukaryotic small subunit ribosomal RNA", at positions 592 to 976 of the family's 1831-position model. The record is from RNAcentral.
CAAUAGCGUAUAUUAAAGUUGUUGCAGUUAAAAAGCUCGUAGUUGGAUUUCUGGUGGGAGCGAUCGGUCUGGCGCUUAGCGCGAGUACUUGCAUCGUCUCCGGCCAUCCUUGGGGAGAGUCUGUCUGGCAUUAGGUUGUCGGGCAGAGGAUCCUCAUCGUUUACUGUGAAAAAAUUAGAGUGUUCAAAGCAGGCUUAUGCCGUUGAAUAUAUUAGCAUGGAAUAAUAAGAUAGGACUUUGGUACUAUUUUGUUGGUUUGCGCACCAAAGUAAUGAUUAAUAGGGACAGUUGGGGGUAUUCGUAUUCCGUUGUCAGAGGUGAAAUUCUUGGAUCUACGGAAGACGAACUACUGCGAAAGCAUUUACCAAGGAUGUUUUCAUUAA